GAAUGGGAAAAGGGUAAGAGCUGGGGGUACACUUAGGGUUUUGGAUGGCAUCAGUUGUUAAUCCCGUUCAAGUCCAUAAAAAUUGAAGUGCUAUUGAAAAAAAUAAAAAAUAAAAAGCUUGUGAAUUUUAUAGAAAGUGAAUGCAGAGAAGGAAUGAAGAGGAUUUGAGUUAGGGCUCAGGGUUACGAUAUGAGAUUUUGAUUAAAAAAAAAAAAAUGAUUGUCACAGAAAAUGAAACCCUAGAAAUCUCGUUCUUCAAAGGAACAAGAAGGCUGAGUUCGGGACAAUGGGGUGUCUGAAACUGGCUGUUUGGAUCCGAUCAGAUCCCACGCAUUUCAUGUUCCAG
This 346-nucleotide unclassified non-coding RNA is filed under the name Hevea brasiliensis (rubber tree). The record is from RNAcentral. Lineage: Eukaryota; Viridiplantae; Streptophyta; Magnoliopsida; Malpighiales; Euphorbiaceae.